This 120-nucleotide ribosomal RNA is filed under the name Castor canadensis (American beaver). The record is from RNAcentral. Lineage: Eukaryota; Metazoa; Chordata; Mammalia; Rodentia; Castoridae.
GUCCAUGGCCCUACCACCCUGAACAUGCCCUAUCUCAUCUGGAUUUGGAAUCUAAGCAGGGUUGGGCCUGGUUAGUACAUGGAUGGAAGACAGAUUUUCAGAAUAGACUGCUCAGAGACA